UGGCUCAGAUUGAACGCUGGCGGCAUGCUUUACACAUGCAAGUCGAACGGUAACAGGGAGCUUGCUCCGCUGACGAGUGGCGAACGGGUGAGUAAUAUAUCGGAACGUACCCAAGAGUGGGGGAUAACGUAGCGAAAGUUACGCUAAUACCGCAUACGAUCUAUGGAUGAAAGCAGGGGACCUUCGGGCCUUGUGCUCCUGGAGCGGCCGAUAUCUGAUUAGCUAGUUGGUGGGUAAAGGCUCACCAAGGCGACGAUCAGUAGCUGGUCUGAGAGGACGACCAGCCACACUGGAACUGAGACACGGUCCAGACUCCUACGGGAGGCAGCAGUGGGGAAUUUUGGACAAUGGGCGCAAGCCUGAUCCAGCAAUGCCGCGUGAGUGAAGAAGGCCUUCGGGUUGUAAAGCUCUUUUGUCAGGGAAGAAACGGCUGUGGCUAAUAUCCACGGCUAAUGACGGUACCUGAAGAAUAAGCACCGGCUAACUACGUGCCAGCAGCCGCGGUAAUACGUAGGGUGCAAGCGUUAAUCGGAAUUACUGGGCGUAAAGCGUGCGCAGGCGGUUUUGUAAGUCUGUCGUGAAAUCCCCGGGCUCAACCUGGGAAUUGCGAUGGAGACUGCAAGGCUAGAAUCUGGCAGAGGGGGGUAGAAUUCCACGUGUAGCAGUGAAAUGCGUAGAGAUGUGGAGGAACACCGAUGGCGAGGCAGCCCCCUGGGUCAAGAUUGACGCUCAUCACGAAAG
RNAcentral lists this ribosomal RNA (741 nucleotides) under Massilia timonae. RNAcentral describes it as "bacterial SSU rRNA". It matches the Rfam family "Bacterial small subunit ribosomal RNA", at positions 20 to 759 of the family's 1533-position model. The record is from RNAcentral. Lineage: Bacteria; Pseudomonadati; Pseudomonadota; Betaproteobacteria; Burkholderiales; Oxalobacteraceae.